This 231-nucleotide ribosomal RNA is filed under the name uncultured bacterium. RNAcentral's name for it is "partial 16S ribosomal RNA". It matches the Rfam family "Bacterial small subunit ribosomal RNA", at positions 118 to 350 of the family's 1533-position model. The record is from RNAcentral.
UGGGCAACCUGCCCUCAGCACUGGGAUAACCCCGGGAAACCGGGGCUAAUACCGGAUACGACCUCGGCGGGCAUCCGCUGAGGUGGAAAGUGUCAGUGGCUGAGGAUGGGUCCGCGGCCUAUCAGCUUGUUGGUGGGGUAACGGCCUACCAAGGCGACGACGGGUAGCCGGCCUGAGAGGGCGACCGGCCACACUGGGACUGAGACACGGCCCAGACUCCUACGGGAGGCA